UGAGGAAUAUUGGACAAUGGGCGUAAGCUUGAUCCAGCAAUACCUACUGAGUGAAGAAGGGAACUCUGUAAAACUUAGGAAACAAAGAAGAUUGUGACUUUAUUUGGUUUUUAGCCCUGGCUAACUUCGUGCCAGCAGCCGCGGUAAAACGGAGAGGGCAAGUGUUACUCAUAAUGACUGGGUGUAAAGGGUACGUAGGUGGUUAAGAAAGCGGUGAGUGAAACAGAAGAUUAAUUGCUUUAAACGCUUGCUGAACUACUUAGCUAGAGUGUUGUCGAGGGUAUUGGUACGUUUGAUGAAGAGGUGAUAUUCUACGAUAUCAAAAGGACAACCAAAGGCGAAGGCAAGUACCUAGGCAACACUGACACUGAGGUACUGAAGCGUGGGGAGCAAAUCGGAU
Molecule: ribosomal RNA, 400 nt
Filed under: uncultured bacterium
Lineage: Bacteria
Description: partial 16S ribosomal RNA
Rfam family: Bacterial small subunit ribosomal RNA
Source: RNAcentral